GCUGGGUGUGGUGGCGCAUGCCUAUAAUCUCAGCAACUCAGGAGGCCGAGGCAGGAGGAUUGCAAGUUUGAGACUUGCAACUUAGUGAAACCCUGUCUCAA
Molecule: small RNA, 101 nt
Filed under: Marmota monax (woodchuck)
Lineage: Eukaryota; Metazoa; Chordata; Mammalia; Rodentia; Sciuridae
Source: RNAcentral